GCUUAAACACCAAUAGGAGUAGAUUACUUCUUACAGUCGGUUUUAUUAGUUCAAGUGCUCCACAGACACCACUAGAUAAACCGCCUGCUUCCACGAGAUCACAUGAUAAGCGACCGAUCGUCGUAAAUGCUUGACUUAAAUUCGACUCAAAAACCUCCUGAUCACUUCACUCACUCAAAUCAAACUCAGAUUCUGAACAAACCUAAUUUCAAGCACAAGAACUGAAAAAUGCUGCAGACAAGGGUUUGGAGAUUUGUGGCAUGCCUAUGGGUAAAAGACACGGAUAAAUCAAUAUGCUGUAGAUGAUUACUGCCCUGUGCAUAAAAGUAUUGAAAUUCAAAAGCCUCAUAUGGUUUCAACAAGAACAUUGAAGAGAGGAUCACCACUUGGCAUGUAUGGCCUUGAAGCUCAUCCAGUAACUGCUCAAAAGAAGGGACUGAUAGAAAAAGAUGGUAGCCAUCAUCGAAUUUGUUCUAUGCAUCCAUCUCCAACUCUUGAAAAGGUUUUCUACACCACACAGUAACAAUAUAGAUGAUUGCUGUAGUGAUGCUGAAUCAUCUUCUAGAGUGGAUUAUGCGACUGAAGGAUGUCCACUUUCUUUAGAUGAGCGAUUGGGAGUAGAAUUCUACAGGUCAGAAUUAUCUACAUAUUGUUGAGGAUUUGUAUGCUUCGGGGCCUUUGCGUUGGGAAGAUGAAGCAACAUUGACAAAUCUACGCCGUACGGUUCAUAUUUCAGAUGAGGAGCAUUUGAUGGUGCAAAGAAAUUUGUUACCUGCUAAUAGUAUGCUUCUUGUCAGCUGACCUGAUUUAGUCUCUUUUUUCUCCUCUAAUAUAUUUUCCUUAAUUGAUGUCAAGAUGUUGUAAGGAAUAAAUGGCAUGAAAGAAAUGUAUAAUCUAGAUGAUUUUUGUUUA
Molecule: long non-coding RNA, 912 nt
Organism: Hevea brasiliensis (rubber tree)
Lineage: Eukaryota; Viridiplantae; Streptophyta; Magnoliopsida; Malpighiales; Euphorbiaceae
Exons: 3
Source: RefSeq, a predicted model, not a curated record